CCUACGGGAGGCAGCAGUGGGGAAUAUUGGACAAUGGACGAAAGUCUGAUCCAGCAAUGCCGCGUGAGUGAUGAAGGCCUUAGGGUUGUAAAGCUCUUUUACCAGGGAUGAUAAUGACAGUACCUGGAGAAUAAGCUCCGGCUAACUCCGUGCCAGCAGCCGCGGUAAUACGGAGGGAGCUAGCGUUGUUCGGAAUUACUGGGCGUAAAGCGCACGUAGGCGGUUAUUCAAGUCAGAGGUGAAAGCCCGGGGCUCAACCCCGGAACUGCCUUUGAAACUAGAUAGCUAGAAUCCUGGAGAGGUGAGUGGAAUUCCGAGUGUAGAGGUGAAAUUCGUAGAUAUUCGGAAGAACACCAGUGGCGAAGGCGGCUCACUGACGAGUAUG
RNAcentral lists this ribosomal RNA (385 nucleotides) under uncultured bacterium. RNAcentral describes it as "bacterial SSU rRNA". It matches the Rfam family "Bacterial small subunit ribosomal RNA", at positions 338 to 741 of the family's 1533-position model. The record is from RNAcentral.